RNAcentral lists this long non-coding RNA (262 nucleotides) under Elaeis guineensis (African oil palm). Its description in RNAcentral is "long non-coding RNA (EGUI_LNC078565)". Lineage: Eukaryota; Viridiplantae; Streptophyta; Magnoliopsida; Arecales; Arecaceae. The record is from RNAcentral.
CUGCCCAGUGAAGUUGAAGUUGAUUUUGUAUUUAAUCUUGAUGAGUCAGAGAGUGACGAUCAAUUCAUAAAUGACGAUGAGAUAGAAAAUGACACAUAUGUCGAUUCUUAUGAUUCAGAGGAGGAUUUAUACAUCGAGGAAGAUACAAAUAUUGAUGAGUAGAUCUAUAUUCUUUGUUCAAUCUUCUCUUGCAAUAAUGGUAUACAAUAUAAUUCUAUUCAUUAGAAUGUAAUUUAUUUUCUGUUAUUAUUGUUCAAUAUUA